Molecule: ribosomal RNA, 405 nt
Filed under: uncultured bacterium
Lineage: Bacteria
Description: bacterial SSU rRNA
Rfam family: Bacterial small subunit ribosomal RNA
Source: RNAcentral
GAUGAACGCUGGCGGCGUGCCUAAUACAUGCAAGUCGAACGAGGUGCUUGAGUAGCAAUACAAGAGUAUCCUAGUGGCGAACGGGUGAGUAACGCGUGGAUGACCUGCCCCAAAGUGUGGGAUAACAGUCCGAAAGGAUUGCUAAUACCUCAUGUGGUUAUCGGAUUUAGAAACUGAUAACUAAAGCAGCAAUGCGCUUUGGGAGGGAUCUGCGUCCCAUCAGCUAGUUGGUGAGGUAACGGCUCACCAAGGCGACGACGGGUAGGGGACCUGAGAGGGUGGCCCCCCACAAUGGAACUGAAACACGGUCCAUACACCUACGGGUGGCGGCAGUAGGGAAUAUUGCUCAAUGGGCGAAAGCCUGAAGCAGCAACGCCGCGUGUGCGAUGAAGGCCUCGGUCGUAA